Molecule: long non-coding RNA, 1332 nt
Filed under: Capsicum annuum
Lineage: Eukaryota; Viridiplantae; Streptophyta; Magnoliopsida; Solanales; Solanaceae
Description: long non-coding RNA (CANN_LNC001016)
Source: RNAcentral
UUAUUUUGCUAAUACAUUCCAAUCCAAGUUUCAUUGCUUGUUCGAUGAGCCUUAUAUGUGGUCUAUUGUAGUUAUGUGUUUUUUUCACUUAAAUUUAUUCUUUUGUUUUGUGUGUUUUUUUUAGUAUGAUUUUUCUGCUAUACAACUGUACCACAUGUUUUUUUUUUUGUUGGUUGAUGCUACAACUUAAUGUGUAUCUAAUGGCUAUAUUCUACUUAAUAUAUGUGGUAGAUGAAUGUUUUGUCGAAUUUUAAGAAACUCUCAUGCAAAGGUUAAGUUUAAUCAUAUUGUUUUAAUAUGUCAAUUAUCAUAUAUAUAGUAAUUUAAAAUUAAUUGCGAUAGCAGUUAUUCAAAAUAUUAAUUCCACAUCUAUGCAACUUCUGAUAAGUUUUUCCUAUUAGAUAUAUACCGAUUGAUUUCUUUGUUUAUCUGCUUUUAAAUUUUGUUUUUUUAGUGUUUCUUUAGUUCUCUUUUGAAUGGUUAUUGUGUAUUUUUUUUAGAUAUCAUUUUAUUAUUUGAAUUUGAAAUAAUGUAGAACCGCCUAAUUAAGUAAGCCAUUUAUGAUAAAAAAAAAAAAUUGUAUUGAUUUUAUUGUUAUUUUUCUUAGGGUAAAAAGACUGGAGAAAGACACUGUAUUUAUAGCGAAACAAAACUUGCGACUUUAUGGUGGUAUCAUCUUUCAAAGUAACAACCAAUUAAGAGGUCUAGAUUCUGUUUAUUGCAUAUGUGACAUUUGGCUAGGCAAAUUCUUGUUGGGAGAGAUUGAUUCCAUUUUAUUAUAGGGUAUAUUCAUGCAUGUCAGAUCUAAUAAACAUAUCCAAUCGCUUUAUAUAUAUCUCCAAUUUAAAGCUUGCCAGUUGAGUUUUUGUUUGACCGGAAAGGUGCUUAUUUAGCUGAUAAGAGUGCUCGGAGAUCAGAUAUUUGGUAGAAUUAAUCGAAGUACGCACAAGCUGAUUCGGCAUAUCAUGAUCAUUAAAAAAUGUCUUUGUGUGUUGUUGUGCAUGAGGUUCAAGAAGUCUUGUAUUAAUUACAUGUCGCCGCGCAUAGGGUUCAAGAAGUCUUAAUUGCAUGUGAUCGCGCAUGGGUUUGUUGCAACAAAGUGUGCAUAAGUGCAGUAGUGCAUAUUGUUAAAUUUUCUGUGCAAGUGUUGUUUCAAGGAUGGUUAUGCAUGUAAUUAUGAUUUUGCUUCCUAAUAUUAAAGGGCUAUAGAAGUUGUAUUUGGCUAUGAGUUCAACUCAAAAAGAAUCUGAAUUAGUUUAAUUUUAAUAUGGAUUUUAGAUACCGAUUGAGAAAUUAAAAAUAAAAUAAAAUUUUGUAGGCAUACAACAAUAU